GCUCACUUGUGCCGAAGAUAGUUGGCUGGAAACGGCCUGUGAAAAUAGGUAGAUGCCGGCU
RNAcentral lists this ribosomal RNA (61 nucleotides) under Gemmiger formicilis. Lineage: Bacteria; Bacillati; Bacillota; Clostridia; Eubacteriales; Oscillospiraceae. The record is from RNAcentral.